ACUCAGAUCCCCAUCCGCUCAAGCAGGCCACCAUGUGCCGAGGCUUCUCUUUCAGGCACUUGCUGCCGCUGCUGCUCCUGCAGCUGUCAAAACUCCUAGUUGUCACCCAAGGAAAGACCGUGGUGCUGGGGAAGGAAGGGGGUUCAGCAGAACUGCCCUGUGAAAGUACCUCGAGGAGGAGUGCAUCCUUCGCGUGGAAGUCCUCUGACCAAAAGACAAUUCUGGGAUAUAAGAACAAGUUAUUGAUUAAAGGUAAGAUUCCCUGUCCCCCUAACCCAGGGAGGAAAACAGUGAGUUGAAUGAACUUGCAGUUGGAAAACCUGUUCCUAGAAAUCCAGAGUGUCGUGAUGGCGAGGCUCCUCACAAUCUCAGUGGCCCUCUCCCCCGGGAUCCCCCCUUUCUAACUGGUGAUGACACACGGCUUCAAGAAUCUUCAUUUUAGUCUUUUAAUAUUUAUGACUUUAAUGGACAUUGCAAAAAUUAUCACACAAAGUAUAUGAUUUCAAGAGUGUUAUUACUACAGACCGUAAAGAUGAUAUGAUACUGUGUUUACUCCUGUUAAAAGCAACAGUUCGUGAUAUAGAGUGCUUGCCUGGAACAUGUAAGGGCUCUGGUUUGAUUUCCCAGCAAAAAAUCAAACAAAUAAAC
Molecule: long non-coding RNA, 648 nt
Filed under: Rattus norvegicus (Norway rat)
Lineage: Eukaryota; Metazoa; Chordata; Mammalia; Rodentia; Muridae
Description: long non-coding RNA NONRATT021846
Source: RNAcentral